Molecule: long non-coding RNA, 2803 nt
Filed under: Anas zonorhyncha (Eastern spot-billed duck)
Lineage: Eukaryota; Metazoa; Chordata; Aves; Anseriformes; Anatidae
Description: lncRNA (ENSAZOG00000014103.1)
Source: RNAcentral
CCACAGUGUGGUGCUUGGCUCUGCUCCUCACCAUCCCGUGCCCAAAACCAGCCUCCUGCAGCCGAAAUCUGCUUGGCAUCGGUGGGCUUUAAGCACUGCCUCGUGCCCUCUGAGCCCAGCUCCCCAGGUAUGGCAACUGGGUGUUACUCCUGCGGGGGAUGCGAUCAGUGAUAAAUUCAGGGUCACGGUGUCUCCCUUGGCGUAACCACCUGAAGGAAAAUCCAUACAAAGAGACAUCAGGACCUUUGAGGCAGAAUUGACAAGUGCCACUUGGUUUUGGAGCAGAGCCCGGACACGGGGCACAUCCCGUUGCAAGAGGGUGCAAAAUACUCCAGGUAACGCCCCCCCUGUGACAUCCCGAGGUGCUGGGGGUGCUUUGGUGCAAAUAUAACGACUGAUGGAGCGUUAUUUGUGCCCUGUGCUCUCCGGAGCCUCCCCUUGGCACUCAACAGGAGCUGCUGCGUGCUUCAGCUUGGGCACUGUGGCCUCGAUUCCCAAACUCCUCCAACCCACCAAGGGCUGCUGUCGGCAUUCCCAGGGCUUCGCAGCCGGGAAAUAGCAGCCAUCUCUGCGGAGAGCCUGAUGUCACAAGAUUUUUCAGCCUGAUUUCCAGAGCAGCAGUCUGGAUACGCUUCAAACCUCUUGACUGCUUUUUCCAACCAGCGUUGUUGCUUAGGAUUUUGGGGGGGAUUUUUUUCUUUUUUUUUUUUUUUUUUUUUUUUCCGGGCUCUCCCUUCCCCUGCUCUCAGCCUGUCUUGCGGAGCUGCCGAUUGAGCAAUCGGUGUCUGUUCCUUAGACACGUCACUGUGGAAACGUGGAAAUUCCUGAGAUUGCUGGUGGGGACCCACACGAAAUCGGGCUGGGGAGGAGGAGGAGGAGAAGGAGAGGAGGAGGAGGAGGCAGCUGCCCAGGAGAUGGGUUUGCUGCAGGAGCAAAUCCUUUCUGCUUGUCCUCUCUGGGAGCAGCCACUUCCAAGGGCUGGCUGUCAAGAAGAUUUGCGAGGGGCUGUUCUUCUCCCCUCUCCUUUUUACGUGACCACCAGCACCAGCCGGCCCCACAGAGGAACACAGCUUGCGCGGGGCUGAGCAGGACACAGCGCGCUCUUUUGCAAUCAGCUUGGCUCGGGAUUGCAAAAAAAAAAAACAAAAAAAGCCUUUUUAAUUUUUUUUCCCCCAAAAAAAUUAAAAAAGGAGUUGUUCCAGUGGCUGCCUGUCACAAGGGGAAGAGGGGUGGGAAUGAGGUGCCAGUUUCACAGCGCUUCUUGCUGAUGCUGAAAUUCUCCCCUCUUGCUUUCAGGAUGAAGCCACGCCAGGCACAUGGGGGCUCAUUUCGCUCUCCCCAGCAGCAGAUGCUUUUGUGCUUGGCGGCCAAACCCAAAAAUCUGCCUUGGCCUACUGGGAAAUGGGAGUACCGUCAGCACCAUAAAGGAUUACGUCUCGGCCCUGGUGUUGAGUCCUGUGGUUUUCACCAGCAGCCUCGUAGCUUGCUCGCAUCCAAGGUCAGCACGGGGAUCCAUUUGGGGGAAUUAUUUAGACAAAGCUCUGCAGGGCUGAUGUGUGCCAUGCUGACCCUGUGUUGGAGACCCGUACCAAGUCUCAGUGAGGUUCAGACCGAGCAGGCUGGAGCAGGACGGGGAGGCCAAGUCACCUCUCCGCUGACAGUGAGUGUUUUUACGAGAUGUCCUGGCAAUUAGUGGAAGAAGAGACGCAGCUGUCGAUGCACUGAAAGAUACAGUUUACAGGGAGUGAUAAUAUCUUUUAUUAGGCUCCAGAAAGCAGGAUUUGGGGCACAUGAGUCCUGUUCUGAGCUGCAGCUGAGGGUGUGAGAGCAUCAGCCCCGCCACGGGGCACAUCCUCCAGGGACUCACUGGGGCUCUGUGCCCCUGGGACAGACCUGAGCUCCCCAGGGUGCAGAGGCUUUGCUUCCAGUGGGGCUUUUAUUUCAGCUUAUGGGGAAAUGCUGCUUUGAGACCAGGUUUUAGUUCUCUGCUGUCUCAUUAUAGAGCAGGUGUUGAAGAUUGAUGCUGUACCUCUCAAAACAAAGGCGUAGGCAUCAUCAGAUGGUGUGCGAGACGUUUGAUAUUAAGGGUAGAAGCCUGUCCUUUGAGCCAACUAGUAAGCAAAAAACUGGGAAAUUAAUGGCUUCUCAAGCUUUUAAUUUUUGAUGCAGAUUUAGAUGGGGUGUCCUGCUUAAAGGAUGGUGUCCCUGGACUGCAUCAUCCUUUGCUUCACACAUCCAUCCCUUGAAUUCCUCAACACAGUGACUGCUGCGUGUCCUGUAGGAUGCUGUGAAGCAAUGGUUUCACCUAGGGCGGCUUGAACAAGAACACCUUAAUUAGGAUUGAGUUUGUAAGGAAGGGAAAACAGCAAGCACAGGGUUUAGAGAAGCAUUUGGAGGUUUUCAUGCUUUCUUUUUUUUUGUCCCCUGGCAACGAACCCAAGAGGAGAAGCGCAUCGCUUCGUUGGGGCGGUGCUGAGCGGGACGCCUGCCCCGAGCUAUUUUUACUCCUGGUCGCGUCCUGCAGCCACGCUGGCAGAUGCUCUCCCAGCUGCAGAUGACUUCCAUGUGUAACCCCUUUUGGCUGCUGGCUGGGGGCCUAGGGCGUAGCUUGCUGCCUUGCAGGGCUCCUCAGAGCAGGGCCAUGCCCAACACCCUGGGGGUCAGCAGCAAUGGGGGUCCCUUCCCAGCCCGCACCUUCCUGAAGCCUUCCCUGGAUCAUCCAGGUUGGGAAAAGGGUAGGGUGGAAAGGAUGAAUCACGGGUCAUUUUAACCUGGGUGCUCCCAGAUUGAAAGGAGAGGUUGU